This 511-nucleotide long non-coding RNA is filed under the name Mytilus galloprovincialis (Mediterranean mussel). Lineage: Eukaryota; Metazoa; Mollusca; Bivalvia; Mytilida; Mytilidae. The record is from RNAcentral.
AUUAUUGCAAGAACUUUUAGAUAAAUUAUUGAAAUACUGUCAUAAGUGGAACAUUGAAGUUAAUACUGAAAAAACAAAAGUUCUAGUAUUUAGAAAUGGAUGGCAACCAGUAAGUGUCAGAUUCUUCUACGACAUUAAAGAGCUAGAAAUAGUAAAUUCCUGUAUAUAUCUUGGCAUGAUGUUUUAUUCUAAUGGAAAAUUCGUACAGACUCAGAAACGUUUGUCCCAACAGGGAUCACGAGCUUUAUCGUCAUUGUUAAACUCAGUGAAAGAUUUCUACUUGUCAAAGAAGAAAUAACUUGAUCUAUUUGACAGUAUGGUGGCCUCUGUUCUUAAUUAUGCUUCGGAAAUAUGGGGUUUCAAUCGAGGUAAAGAUGUUGAGAUUAUUCACAAUCGUUUCUGUCGAUAUAUUUUAAAAGUUGGCAAAUCUGUCCCAAAUUGUUUUUUAUAUGGUGAAUUGGGCCAUUUUCCUAUGUAUAUUAUGAGAAAAUUUAGAAUUGUGAAAUAUUGG